UGCAAGUUCGACCUGACCCCGCCCACUCUGCUCACGUAGCUCCUCCCGGUAAUCAGCAAAUUGUCAGAGGAAGCUGUUGGCAGAAUGUCUGACUUUUAUAUCAGGCUGCUCAGAGUCGUGGUGGUUUCUGAAGAUGGAGGGCGUUUGUCCUUCAGUUGCCCCAUCACCAUCUAACGCUGACUGAAAUCUUUAUUCCAACUGGUCACCGAAGUAAUUGCUGCACCUCAGCUGUGUCUGGAGCCGCUUCCUCCGCUGUCUCAGCCGUACUGGAGGCAGCAGACCUGACGGUUUAACCUGAUGGAGGUGAUUGGAUGUGGUGCUGGGGCACAUUAUGGCACAACUGGACGAGGCCUGACCAUCGUGAUGUCUUGUUGCUUAGAUGUCCCUCUCUCCUUCUCUCUGCUCCUUCCACCCACACAUUUAUCAGAAAUGCCCAAAUCCCUAAAUAAAUGAACUUGUUUCUCUUA
Betta splendens (Siamese fighting fish) is the source of this 467-nucleotide long non-coding RNA. RefSeq lists it as uncharacterized. The transcript has 3 exons. NCBI's taxonomy places the organism in Eukaryota, Metazoa, Chordata, Actinopteri, Anabantiformes, Osphronemidae. The record is from RefSeq and is a predicted model, not a curated record.